This 472-nucleotide ribosomal RNA is filed under the name uncultured Desulfotomaculum sp. RNAcentral describes it as "bacterial SSU rRNA". It matches the Rfam family "Bacterial small subunit ribosomal RNA", at positions 910 to 1382 of the family's 1533-position model. Lineage: Bacteria; Bacillati; Bacillota; Clostridia; Eubacteriales; Desulfotomaculaceae. The record is from RNAcentral.
UUCGACGGGGCCCGCACAAGCGGUGGAGCAUGUGGUUUAAUUCGAAGCAACGCGAAGAACCUUACCAGGUCUUGACAUCCCUGACAACCCAGAGAUUGGGCGUUCCCCUUCGGGGGACAGGGUGACAGGUGGUGCAUGGUUGUCGUCAGCUCGUGUCGUGAGAUGUUGGGUUAAGUCCCGCAACGAGCGCAACCCUUACGGUUAGUUGCCAGCGGUUAAAGCCGGGCACUCUAGCUGAACUGCCGUUGACAAAACGGAGGAAGGUGGGAUGACGUCAAAUCAUCAUGCCCUUUAUAUCCUGGGCUACACACGUGCUACAAUGGCCUGUACAGAGGGCAGCGAAGGGGCAACCUGGAGCGAAUCCCAAAAAGCAGGUCUCAGUUCGGAUUGCAGGCUGCAACUCGCCUGCAUGAAGUCGGAAUCGCUAGUAAUCGCAGGUCAGCAUACUGCGGUGAAUACGUUCCCGGGCCUU